Molecule: ribosomal RNA, 387 nt
Filed under: uncultured bacterium
Lineage: Bacteria
Description: bacterial SSU rRNA
Rfam family: Bacterial small subunit ribosomal RNA
Source: RNAcentral
GACGAACGCUGGCGGCGUGCUUAACACAUGCAAGUCGAGCGGUAAGGCCCUUUCGGGGGUACACGAGCGGCGAACGGGUGAGUAACACGUGGGUGACCUGCCCUCAGCUCUGGGAUAAGCCUGGGAAACCGGGUCUAAUACCGGAUAUGACUCCAUGACGCAUGUUGUGGGGUGGAAAGCCUUGUGCGGCUGAGGAUGGGCCCGCGGCCUAUCAGCUUGUUGGUGGGGUGAUGGCCUACCAAGGCGACGACGGGUAGCCGGCCCGAGAGGGCGACCGGCCACACUGGGACUGAGACACGGCCCAGACUCCUACGGGAGGCAGCAGUGGGGAAUCUUGCGCAAUGGGCGAAAGCCUGACGCAGCGACGCCGCGUGAGGGAUGACGGCC